Molecule: ribosomal RNA, 368 nt
Filed under: uncultured Desulfobulbus sp.
Lineage: Bacteria; Pseudomonadati; Thermodesulfobacteriota; Desulfobulbia; Desulfobulbales; Desulfobulbaceae
Description: bacterial SSU rRNA
Rfam family: Bacterial small subunit ribosomal RNA
Source: RNAcentral
CCAUCUGGAAGAAUCUGGAGACAGGUGCUGCAUGGCUGUCGUCAGCUCGUGUCGUGAGAUGUUGGGUUAAGUCCCGCAACGAGCGCAACCCUUGCCUUUAGUUGCCAGCAGUUCGGCUGGGCACUCUAAAGGGACUGCCGGUGUUAAACCGGAGGAAGGUGGGGAUGACGUCAAGUCCUCAUGGCCUUUAUGACCAGGGCUACACACGUACUACAAUGGCCGAUACAAAGGGCAGCGACACUGCGAGGUGAAGCCAAUCCCGUAAAAUCGGUCUCAGUCCGGAUUGGAGUCUGCAACUCGACUCCAUGAAGUUGGAAUCGCUAGUAAUCGUGAAUCAGAAUGUCACGGUGAAUACGUUCCCGGGCCUU